Molecule: long non-coding RNA, 1190 nt
Organism: Homo sapiens (human)
Lineage: Eukaryota; Metazoa; Chordata; Mammalia; Primates; Hominidae
Exons: 3
Source: RefSeq, a predicted model, not a curated record
AGCCGAGAUGCAGACUGUCUGGCUCUUUCAGCUAAGGGAGAGUCAACUCAGGUUAAAACAAGGAGAAAAUGCCACAGCUCUGGGAGGAAGCCCGAGGAGGAGCAGCGCAUCCUGGAGACACCGGUGCGCCUCUGGUCGCCGCCUGUGGACCGUCUAGAGACGCUGGGCCACACGGAGCAAAGCACUCAGGGGUUCAAGCAGCAUCAGACUUCCCCGCGAGGUUCCUCCACUGCCUUUGUCACCCGCCAGUGUGAAGUCUCCAACCCUCCCCGUGUGCAGUCUGCGCUUGGGAAUUUGUUGUUGUUUGUUAUAACCCAAAUAUACUUGAAAGGUAAAGCUUAAGAGCAAACUUACCUGGUGUGGGCACUGCAGCGUGAAGAGUUCUCUCACCCAUUGCUCUGUCCUCCUGCGCCUGGAUCCUCGAGAAACGGACUGUUCUUAGAAGCUGAAAGUCCAGCCGGAUUUACAGACAUCCAAGUAAGAGUCUGUGAGAACCGAAAUUGAAAGGACAUGCACUUUGUGGGGAGUUGACUGUUGGGGAUUUUCCUGUUUAUCAAGACAGGAAACUAAAGGAGCUUGAAAGUGCUGGUUCCUCCACACCAGACUCCUGAAACUCAGGUUUGUUGGUGGAAGGGACUUACCAUGUCUCAGACGAAACUUUGGACUGUGAACUUUUGAGUUAAUACUGCAAUGAGUUAAGACUGGUGAGUGUUCAAUAGCAAAGACUUGGAACCAACCCAAAUGUCCAACAACGAUAGACUGGAUUAAGAAAAUGUGGCACAUAUACACCAUGGAAUAUUAUGCAGCCAUAAAAAAUGAUGAGUUCAUGUCCUUUGUAGGGACAUGGAUGAAACUGGAAACCAUCAUUCUCAGCAAACUAUCGCAAGGACAAAAAACCAAACACCACAUGUUCUCACUCAUAGGUGGGAAUUGAACAAUGAGAACACAUGGACACAGGAAGGGGAACAUCACUCUCCGGGGACUGUUGUGGGGUCGGGGGAGAGGGGAGGGAUAGCAUUAGGAGAUAUACCUAAUGCUAAAUGACGAGUUAAUGGGUGUAGCACACCAACAUGGCACGUGUAUAUGUAACAAACCUGCACAUUGUGCACAUGUACCCUAAAACUUAAAGAAUAAUAAUAAUAAUAAUAAUAAUAAUAAUAAUAAAAAGACUGGUGAGUGUUAAGAAGGCA